UACGGAGGGUGCAAGCGUUAUCCGGAAUCACUGGGUUUAAAGGGUGCGUAGGCUGGCGUAUAAGUCAGAGGUGAAAGCUUUCAGCUUAACUGGAAAAUUGCCUUUGAUACUGUACGUCUUGAAUCAAGUUGAGGUUGGCGGAAUGUGACAUGUAGCGGUGAAAUGCAUAGAUAUGUCAUAGAACACCAAUUGCGAAGGCAGCUAGCUGAGCUUGUAUUGACGCUGAGGCACGAAAGCGUGGGGAGCGAACAGG
Molecule: ribosomal RNA, 253 nt
Filed under: uncultured bacterium
Lineage: Bacteria
Description: partial 16S ribosomal RNA
Rfam family: Bacterial small subunit ribosomal RNA
Source: RNAcentral